RNAcentral lists this ribosomal RNA (73 nucleotides) under Candidatus Arcticimaribacter sp. RNAcentral's name for it is "partial 16S ribosomal RNA". It matches the Rfam family "Bacterial small subunit ribosomal RNA", at positions 1 to 72 of the family's 1533-position model. The record is from RNAcentral. Lineage: Bacteria; Pseudomonadati; Bacteroidota; Flavobacteriia; Flavobacteriales; Flavobacteriaceae.
UACAACGAAGAGUUUGAUCCUGGCUCAGGAUGAACGCUAGCGGCAGGCUUAACACAUGCAAGUCGAGGGGUAA